UAGGGAAUCUUCGGCAAUGGGGGGAACCCUGACCGAGCAACGCCGCGUGAGUGAAGAAGGUUUUCGGAUCGUAAAGCUCUGUUGUUAAGGAAGAACGAGUGUGAGAAUGGAAAGUUCAUACUGUGACGGUACUUAACCAGAAAGGGACGGCUAACAACGUGCCAGCAGCCGCGGUAAUACGUAGGUCCCGAGCGUUGUCCGGAUUUAUUGGGCGUAAAGCGAGCGCAGGCGGUUAGAAAAGUCUGAAGUGAAAGGCAGUGGCUCAACCAUUGUAGGCUUUGGAAACUGUUUAACUUGAGUGCAGAAGGGGAGAGUGGAAUUCCAUGUGUAGCGGUGAAAUGCGUAGAUAUAUGGAGGAACACCGGUGGCGAAAGCGGCUCUCUGGUCUGUAACUGACGCUGAGGCUCGAAAGCGUGGGGAGCGAACAGG
Molecule: ribosomal RNA, 429 nt
Filed under: Bacteroidota bacterium
Lineage: Bacteria; Pseudomonadati; Bacteroidota
Description: Bacteroidetes bacterium partial 16S ribosomal RNA
Rfam family: Bacterial small subunit ribosomal RNA
Source: RNAcentral